Molecule: long non-coding RNA, 793 nt
Organism: Galeopterus variegatus (Sunda flying lemur)
Lineage: Eukaryota; Metazoa; Chordata; Mammalia; Dermoptera; Cynocephalidae
Exons: 2
Source: RefSeq, a predicted model, not a curated record
CUGGGGCAGACAAGGCUGGUCACACCAGACGAGUGCCCUGGACUAUGGCAGGGCCAGGCUGAGAACUUCCCAAAUGCAGGCAGUUGAUAUUCCACCCCAAGCCUCCCUUUCCUCGCUCCCUAAGCUUUGAUCUUGCACUGGGGUCCACUCCACAGACCUAUCGCAUGAUUCACUCGGUUGAUUACUCUCAAAGUUAUUGACCUUAGGAAAAUUCCUCAACUGUAAAAAGGCUUUCUCUCUAUGUAAAUUAUGCUGUUACCUUUUUCUAUACACAAAGUAUAUAUACCUAUAAAUAUUAUACAUAUAUAUUAUAUAUAUAAAAACUAAUUCUUGUACAGACCAACACGGACCGAUGGUCCAUACUGUUUUCUCCUCAUGUCUGUCUGUGCUGACUGUUGCAGAAUGAGUUGAUGUAAGAAAUUGGUUUCAUGUUUUCCUUUUGCAGUCACUUCUUUCCUCUCCUCUCCCUUUCUAUCUCUGUCUGUCUGGGUCGCUGUCUCUCUCUCUCUCUCACUCGUUGCCAAUGUCUCAUUCCUGGGAAAGAACAUUCAAUUCAGAUGCCAUCCAGGAAAGGAAGGCCAGAUGGAUGGAGGGUCCACUGUGUAUAUUUGUACAGAAUCAUUUAUAAAGUUUUCUACACUUCUCAAAAAAGUAUUUCUAACUUGGGCUGUUGGACAGUUUGUGAGCCUCCAAGCCGGCAAGCCUAUUGUUUCUUGUGUUUAGUGCAAUGUUUAGUGAGAAUCCAAUGUCUGAAUUAUUUAUGCCAAUAAAGAAUUUGAGAAUUACUGCAUCA